This 266-nucleotide ribosomal RNA is filed under the name uncultured bacterium. Its description in RNAcentral is "partial 16S ribosomal RNA". It matches the Rfam family "Bacterial small subunit ribosomal RNA", at positions 88 to 354 of the family's 1533-position model. The record is from RNAcentral.
CAUUCGAGUGGCGGACGGGUGAGUAACGCGUGGGUAACCUGCCUUACACAGGGGGAUAACACUUGGAAACAGGUGCUAAUACCGCAUAAGCGCACAGGGCCGCAUGGCCCGGUGUGAAAAACUCCGGUGGUGUAAGAUGGACCCGCGUCUGAUUAGCUUGUUGGCGGGGUAGGGGCCCACCAAGGCGACGAUCAGUAGCCGGCCUGAGAGGGUGGACGGCCACAUUGGGACUGAGACACGGCCCAAACUCCUACGGGAGGCAGCAG